Molecule: microRNA precursor, 196 nt
Filed under: Oryza brachyantha (malo sina)
Lineage: Eukaryota; Viridiplantae; Streptophyta; Magnoliopsida; Poales; Poaceae
Description: MIR812 microRNA precursor family
Rfam family: MIR812 microRNA precursor family
Source: Rfam by way of RNAcentral
UCCAAAUGUUGGGAAUUGUUUAGGAUCGACAUUUGAUCGUCUGUUUUAUUUUAAAAAUUAUAAUUAUUAUUUUUAUUGCUAUUAGAUGGUAAAAUAUUAUUAGUAUUUUAUGUGAGACUUUUUCAAAAUUAUUCAUAAUUUUCAAAUAAGACGAAUGGUCAAAUAUUGAACACAUAAAUUCAUAAAUGCAGUUAUA